This 1308-nucleotide long non-coding RNA is filed under the name Sorghum bicolor (sorghum). RNAcentral's name for it is "long non-coding RNA (SBIC_LNC012590)". Lineage: Eukaryota; Viridiplantae; Streptophyta; Magnoliopsida; Poales; Poaceae. The record is from RNAcentral.
UGAGUUAGAGUAAACUGUCAAGACUUAAAACUUACUUACUUUACCUCCACCAUGGGACUUGUAACUGUCACUUCUGUCUUGAGUGGUUAAAAGAUAGAACGGUCUAGCCAAGUGCCAUGUCUCUUAUUCUUGAUCAGCUAUAGCUCUGGGGUUUUUGUAGAUUUUCAAAUAAAACUCAGAGAUUCCUUGUAUGAUUCUCUCAGGUCUCUCUUUUGUGGUAUUUCUGGAUCCUUACCAAGGCAUUGAUGGUAUAUGCCUUCUCUCAAGAUAUGUGGUAUUUGUGGUAUGAGGCAUAGUGAUAUUGCCUUCUCUCUCACCCUACUCUACUAAGGCUUUAAUAUCUGGAGCUCAUAGGUGGGAGAUAAAGUAUACAUACUUAUAAGACAUUUAUUGCGUAGUCAAACCAUGGAUCCAAAGUAACAAGUCAAUAAGUUUAAUCAAGAUGUGCAUGUGUGGCGAAUGAAUGGUAUAUGGUGAUGAUGGUGAUAACAAUGGUGAAAACAAUGGAGGUGGAAGUCUAAUUCUACUUUGCUCUUUUGAGGGGAUACAUACCUUCCUUGCGUUUGAAACUUUAUGAGGAGAAUGAGAUGCUCUUCUUUUUUCUUUUCUCUCAGGUGGGUAUCUUGCACCCCUAAUUCUACUGUCGGACACUUGUCCAUUUUUACCUCUCGUCUCACUUUUUUUUUUCUUUCGAGGUUCCGAGCACUUGCUCCUUUUUAUUUCCUCGUAUUAUUUCUUCUCUUUUUUUAGAGCAUUCAUCUAUUGAGAUAAUAUAGCAAGUGGUAGUAACAAGAUAACUUGAGCAUUUAUUUCACAAGGGGAAAACAGAAAUAUUUUUGGUUAUUCUCUCCCGGAUUAGGAGUAGAAUAUUUUCAGGUGAUUCUGGAGAUGGAAUGGGUGGAUAUAUGUGGAUGGUACUUCCGGAGUAGAAGUAGCAUAUAUGAGUGAACGUGCAAGUGAAAUCUUGAUUUAACCACAUGACAAGCUCCUAAGGGUCUACACAGCUUGACCACACUCAAUGCUCAUAAGCAGUAAAUAAUAAAUGUGUGGCUCAAAGUCUAGCAAGCAUGUAUAUACGGCUGUGGUAGGAAUUUUUAAGCUCUCAUCAUACAGGAACUCAUCAUGCAACAUUUUAAAGAUUUUCAAAGAUAAAAUUCUCCAGAAUUCUAGCAUCUCUAGGAACAGAUAAACAGCAGCUCAACCUUCCCAUAUCGUAUCCGUUAACAACUUAGACUUCAGAUCAAGUUUUCAUCCCACAAGUUUAGGUCUAGAGCAAGCUUUAAAUUAUAACAGUUAUGUCUAGACUUG